Molecule: long non-coding RNA, 1575 nt
Filed under: Ooceraea biroi (clonal raider ant)
Lineage: Eukaryota; Metazoa; Arthropoda; Insecta; Hymenoptera; Formicidae
Description: uncharacterized LOC109611509
Source: RNAcentral
AGAGGCCAAAGAGAAGAUGUACCUGCAUUUUUUUGAUAGCUUUAAUCUCAUUCUUUGGAUUUGGGGACGGCUAAAAUUAAAGUAUUUUAGCACAAUUAGGGCUCAUACUUUAUCAUUUUCUGGGGUUUAUGGAUUUAUCUGGAGUACACAGCUACAAGAUGAUGAAAUUAUAGAAUUACAGAGUUCUGAAAACGAAAGAGUGAAAUUGUAAAAUUCGAAGAACUUUCUGAAAUUAUCAAGUUCGAAGAAAUUAUCAACAAUUAUGGCAUUGCGGAAUUUAUAGAGCUGUAGAGUUACAAAAAUUAUGAAACAUUGUAAGAUGCCACAUAGAAUUAUUUAAAAAAUAGAAUUAAUCAGAGAAAAGAUUAAAUGUAUAUUUUUUUCUCACUUUAUCUCUUCACGUUAUUUUACAUCGACGAUGAUUAUACCCAUUUUCUCUAACAUUUUGUGCCUGAGGUUUUACCUGAUUUACAUCCCCGUAUUCUGUCAGGCUACUAAUCCAUUCCGCGCUUAGCAAGAUGACACAUUUGUGUAAUUCAUCUUCCAACGUACGUCUCUCUGUUUGUAAACUGCGAACAGUUCUAUUCAAAAGCUGUUUUGGAAAGUCAGCUCCUUCUCAACGUACGAGGAUGAAGUCCUUCGCGGCCUUCCUAACGCGGGUGUUGUGCGUGAUUUUCGUUUACACGUCGUUUUAUGAGAAUGUCUAGUCAACAAUGACAAGCUCUGUACAUGCUGUAGAUAUUCGUCGAAACGUUUCGACAGAUUGUCGUCGAGUGGAUGGAAAUUUUCGCGUUGCCGAGCGCAGCCAUAGAGCAGCGUGGCACGUCAAUGGCACGCAACCGCAUCGUAAUCCGUGGUUCGCGAAUCUAAUCCGCUUUUGUUGCUGCCGGAGCCGCGAUAAUGCUCAAGAACUGUCUAGGCAAAACUGCGCAGUACUUUUUCACAAGAGGUAAAAAAUAUGUUUCAUGCGAUAUAUAAAUUAUAAAAGGUAAUAAAAUUCUGGACAAUUUGGACGAUUCUGUGCAGAAAUAUAUUCAUUAAACUAUAUUUAUUAUAAUUAUUCUUCUAUCGUUCAGUAUGUCAGAUAUUGUAUGUAAUAAUAUAUAUUCUAAGUGAGUGCUAUAUUGAGAAAACGUUCUAAAUAAACUAUAUUCACUAUACGCUGAUAGUAAUAAUUAAAUGAUAAUAAUUGAAAUAAUAAUUAAAAUAUUGAUAUCCAAAAAAUUGUCUAUAUUUAUUUUACUUUUAUUGUUUUUAUUUCUGUUGCUAUUAUAUAUGUAUUUUGAUUUCUAUUUGUAUAUUUCAUAUAAUUUUUCUAAAUUAUAUUUAAAUUUCAUAAACUGUACUAUCUCCCUAAAAUUGGUAAUUUAUAUUUUUCAUUCUUUAUUAUCUUCUUUUAUGUUUGUAAAACUUUGAAAUUUCUCGCAAGGUUUAACUGUUAUGUAUAUAUAAUUACAUAUGUUCUAAUAACAUGUAUAAAUCUGAAAAUCUUAAAAAGGCGAUUGCGAUUCAAUAGACGCCAUAAAAUUCGAACCUUGCCCUCUCAACAAUAUAGAUUAAAAAAGAUGGAAAAAA